Molecule: non-coding RNA, 78 nt
Organism: Podarcis lilfordi (Lilford's wall lizard)
Lineage: Eukaryota; Metazoa; Chordata; Lepidosauria; Squamata; Lacertidae
Source: the annotation of a GenBank genome assembly
UUCUGGAUAGCUCAGUUGGUUAGAGCCUGGGGCUGAGAAUGCCAAGGUUGCAGAUCUGAUCCCCGCAUAUUCCUGAAU